Molecule: ribosomal RNA, 465 nt
Filed under: uncultured bacterium
Lineage: Bacteria
Description: bacterial SSU rRNA
Rfam family: Bacterial small subunit ribosomal RNA
Source: RNAcentral
CCUACGGGGGGCAGCAGUGGGGAAUAUGGCACAAUGGGCGCAAGCCUGAUGCAGCCAUGCCGCGUGUAUGAAGAAGGCCUUCGGGUUGUAAAGUACUUUCAGCGAGGAGGAAGGCAUUAGGGUUAAUAACCUUGGUGAUUGACGUUACUCGCAGAAGAAGCACCGGCUAACUCCGUGCCAGCAGCCGCGGUAAUACGGAGGGUGCAAGCGUUAAUCGGAAUUACUGGGCGUAAAGCGCACGCAGGCGGUCUGUCAAGUCGGAUGAGAAAUCCCCGGGCUCAACCUGGGAACUGCAUUCGAAACUGGCAGGCUAGAGUCUUGUAGAGGGGGGUAGAAUUUCAGGUGUAGCGGUGAAAUGCGUAGAGAUCUGGAGGAAUACCGGUGGCGAAGGCGGCCCCCUGGACAAAGACUGACGCUCAGGUGCGAAAGCGUGGGGAGCAAACAGGAUUAGAUACCCCAGUAGUC